AUGCACGCUGGCGGCGUGCCUCAUACCUGCAAGUCGCGCGAACAGACGAGGAGCUUGCUCCUCUGACGUUAGCGGCGGCCGGGUGAGUAACACGUGGAUAACCUACCUAUAAGCCUGGGAUAACUUCGGGAAACCGGAGCUAAUACCGGAUAAUAUAUUGAACCGCAUGGUUCAAUAGUGAAAGACGGUUUUGCUGUCACUUAUAGAUGGAUCCGCGCCGCAUUAGCUAGUUGGUAAGGUAACGGCUUACCAAGGCGACGAUGCGUAGCCGACCUGAGAGGGUGAUCGGCCACACUGGAACUGAGACACGGUCCAGACUCCUACGGGAGGCAGCAGUAGGAAAUCUUCCGCAAUGGGCGAAAGCCUGACGGAGCAACGCCGCGUGAGUGAUGAAGGUCUUCGGAUCGUAAAACUCUGUUAUUAGGGAAGAACAAAUGUGUAAGUAACUAUGCACGUCUUGACGGUACCUAAUCAGAAAGCCACGGCUAACUACGUG
RNAcentral lists this ribosomal RNA (496 nucleotides) under uncultured bacterium. RNAcentral's name for it is "partial 16S ribosomal RNA". It matches the Rfam family "Bacterial small subunit ribosomal RNA", at positions 29 to 507 of the family's 1533-position model. The record is from RNAcentral.